GACGAACGCUGGCGGCGUGCCUAAUACAUGCAAGUAGAACGCUGAAGAGAGGAGCUUGCUCUUCUUGGAUGAGUUGCGAACGGGUGAGUAACGCGUAGGUAACCUGCCUUGUAGCGGGGGAUAACUAUUGGAAACGAUAGCUAAUACCGCAUAACAAUGGAUGACACAUGUCAUUUAUUUGAAAGGGGCAAUUGCUCCACUACAAGAUGGACCUGCGUUGUAUUAGCUAGUAGGUGAGGUAAUGGCUCACCUAGGCGACGAUACAUAGCCGACCUGAGAGGGUGAUAGGCCACACUGGGACUGAGAAACGGCCCAGACUCCUACGGGAGGCAGCAGUAGGGAAUCUUCGGCAAUGGGGGCAACCCUGACCGAGCAACGCCGCGUGAGUGAAGAAGGUUUUCGGAUCGUAAAGCUCUGUUGUAAGUCAAGAACGGGUGUGAGAGUGGAAAGUUCACACUGUGACGGUAGCUUACCAGAAAGGGACGGCUAACUACGUG
Molecule: ribosomal RNA, 497 nt
Filed under: uncultured bacterium
Lineage: Bacteria
Description: partial 16S ribosomal RNA
Rfam family: Bacterial small subunit ribosomal RNA
Source: RNAcentral